RNAcentral lists this unclassified non-coding RNA (291 nucleotides) under uncultured fungus. RNAcentral describes it as "sequence contains ITS1". Lineage: Eukaryota; Fungi. The record is from RNAcentral.
GGACUACUAGGGUAUCUAAUCCUGUUUGCUCCCCACGCUUUCGAGCCUCAGCGUCAGUUACAAGCCAGAGAGCCGCUUUCGCCACCGGUGUUCCUCCAUAUAUCUACGCAUUUCACCGCUACACAUGGAAUUCCACUCUCCCCUCUUGCACUCAAGUUAAACAGUUUCCAAAGCGUACUAUGGUUAAGCCACAGCCUUUAACUUCAGACUUAUCUAACCGCCUGCGCUCGCUUUACGCCCAAUAAAUCCGGACAACGCUCGGGACCUACGUAUUACCGCGGCGGCUGGCAC